UGUUUUUUAUGUAGAUGGAAGCACGGGGUUUCGGUGGGUUUUAAAAUUAAGUUUCUCUAUGUUGCCCACAUUGCAAUGUCAAACAUAUGUCCAAGGUCUUUAAUUUGUGCUAGGUGAAGUCCUUUUUCACCAAGCGAUCAGCGUAACCUCCCAA
Long non-coding RNA from Bradysia coprophila, 154 nucleotides. Lineage: Eukaryota; Metazoa; Arthropoda; Insecta; Diptera; Sciaridae. The record is from RefSeq and is a predicted model, not a curated record.